RNAcentral lists this transfer RNA (134 nucleotides) under Imshaugia aleurites. RNAcentral's name for it is "tRNA-Lys". Lineage: Eukaryota; Fungi; Ascomycota; Lecanoromycetes; Lecanorales; Parmeliaceae. The record is from RNAcentral.
GCCCGGCUAGCUCAAUCGUAGGUAGCGUCUGAGUGGAUUUUCUAUUUCAUGUGCUGACCUCUAAUUAAGGGUAGAGCGUAAGACUCUUAAAAGUGACUAUCUUAAGGCUGCGAGUUCGAGCCUCGCGUUGGGCU